This 7914-nucleotide long non-coding RNA is filed under the name Acanthaster planci (crown-of-thorns starfish). Its description in RNAcentral is "uncharacterized LOC110982051". Lineage: Eukaryota; Metazoa; Echinodermata; Asteroidea; Valvatida; Acanthasteridae. The record is from RNAcentral.
AUCAAAAGAAAAAAUAACGGCAAUUUACCGCGAACUAACUUAUCUGCAAUGGUCAUGCAUCUUGGGCAGUGGGCGUGGUUUAAACUGAAGUGGUGCCACACUUACAAACUGGAUACUGCAUGUACUGUGUCGACUCCGCGGGAGCACGUGACGAAGUUCAAUGCAGAGAGCCUCGGUUUCGAUGCAGAUAUGCGCAGACAGCACUAAUGUGAAAUCCCUCUAUACACAGUUGGUAGACAGAUUGUAUGAAUGCCAUUUAUGGAUAAAUUGAACUAGAGGGGGCCAACAACACUUGCUUGAGGAAGUAACAGGUGCCCAGUCAGAGAAGCAUCCCCGGUAGGCGACACGUUGCGUCAAGAAGGAUUUUAUCUAGGCGUGCCCAGUCAGAGAAGCAUCCCCGGUAGGCGACACGUUGCAUCAAGAAGGAUUCUAUCUAGGCCCAUGUUAUUCGCCAAAUGAUGAAAGUGUUGGCAAUUUUAGCGAGUAUAGGAUGUGGUGCGGCAUGACAUCAAAUGCUUUACUGAAAUCCAGGAAAAUCUUAUCAAUUCAAGGAAGUCGUGGAGUAUCCAAAACAUCCGCCCAUUGCAGAUCGUGUUUGUGCCACAUGAUUUUCCAGCACUGAAUCCAUGUUGAUGUGGGUUAUUGAGGCACAACGAUGUUAUGUGGUUGUUGAUGUUUUCGGCAACAGCGCGUUCCAGCACUUCGCAAAGAACUGACUUAAUGCCACUGUGCAGUAAUUCUUGAUGUCGGUACGACUGCCAGAUUUAUAUUCUGGAGUUAUCUGCGAAUGUUUCCAAUCUGAAAAGACAAUGCCACUAGAUAAUGAAGAGUUCAUUAAUCGCAAGAGUGGUAAAGCAAUUAAUGAUGCAGCCACUUUCAACACUUUUGGUGGUAUAGCAUCAUGACUUUGGGCUUUGUGAGGAUUCAAGUUCGAGAGUGAUUUCACCAGCCACUCAAGUUUUACGACAGUUGGGGGAUUUCCGGUAUUGAGAGAUCACAAGUUGGUGGUGUCUCUGGAACAGUUUCAGCUAAAAUGUGAACAGAGGUGAAAUAUUCAUGGAAAGCUUUGCAAAUAUCACUGGGCUCGUGAAGCUCUACCUCAGCUGUUUUGAAUGCGGGUGGGCAUUUGGAUUUCCUUUGGUCUUUGACAAAGCUCCAAAAGCUAAGUUUGUUGUCUACUACUCACACAAGUAAAUGGUGCGGGGCCCAACGGCUCCUCACACAAGUCAACAGGGCAGGGCCAUCAGCGCGGCCUGGCCUGCAUGUCAAAGGUGUACAACUACAAGGUACUGAAGUUAUUGGGGCUGUACCACAUCUGUUGGCCCGCACCUGUGCUGGGAGGCGGAGCCAGUAAUCGUGCAACAAGUUGCCCCAGAAGCUAACUUUCCAGAGACAAAGGGGCGGAGACCAAUGAUGCUUCCAGAUACUUUGACAGGAGCACUUCAUUGUCUGACUACCUAAUCCAUUUUGAGAGCAUCACGGCGAUCAACCAUUGGAGUGAUGCCGAGAAAGUGAUGUUCCUGGCAUCUCAUCAAAAGUGUACAGCCCAAGAAGCUCUGGCCGAUAUGACGCCGAGGGUACGAAAAGACUAUUCUUCUAUCCUUGAGAACUUCGAGCAGCAAUUUGGGGUGGCAGCACAGGUCCCCCUAUAUCAGGCUCAACUGUCUAUACGUACCAGAGGCCGCGAUGAGCCCUUAAGUAGUCUGGGGCAAUCCAUCCGACGUCCAGUCUCCAAGAGCUAUCCAAAACUAAUGGCUCAGGCUCGCGAGGAUUUGGUGGUGGACACAUUUUUGUCAAUGAGAGUGACCACGCUGACCAAAGCUAUCACCGUUGCAACUGAGAUCGAGGCAUUCCUCGAGUCUGAGGCGCAUAAACAGAAGGGAAAAACCAGGGACAUCAGGACAGUGGCCCAGCCCGCUCCAGUUCCAGACGAAAGACCCGGGCCACCCGCUGGGGAUGGAAUUGUAUUAGGUCCCCGGACAAGGGUGGAAUGCUUUGGCUGUCAUGAGCUAGGCCAAAUCCAGCGAAACUGUCCCUAUCAGAGGUGGGGACCGACUUCUGACCGUAAAGGGAACAGAGAGAAGCGGCCACUUAACGUCGCCCCCAGCUGGGGAGCCUGCCGCUCUUCCAAAACGAGCUCCAGUAGGAACAGCUAGAGGGACCUAGGUGACGGUAAAGUGGCCGGGAGGUGGGACUUCCACUGGAUCUGGUGGUGGGCAGUCAGAGGAGCCAGCAGAAGUGGCUGUACACGACUACGUCGAUGGGCUGCGGGCAAGAAUCGAGGGCGCCCAUAAGUUCGCCCGUCGCCACCUACAGAAGAGUCAAAUGUAUCAGAAGCGGCAGUACGACUGCAAGGCAGCAGGGGCCGGGUAUGAGCCCAGGCAGCCGGUAUGGUUGUACAUCCCUGGAUGUACAUCCCUGCCCAAAAGGUAGGCCGCUCGCCCAAGCUCCAAUGCUGGUGGAAAGGUCCCUUCAAGGUAACGAAGAAGAUCGAUGAUGUCACAUAUAAGGUACAGAAGUCCCCUCAGUCCCAAGCCAAAGUGGUCCACUACAACAGACUGAAACCGUACUUUGGUGACGUGGAAGCGGGAUGGUGGGAGCAAGUGGCGCGGCAGUCUCAGCCAGAAAAGGACCACGACGCUGACGGACGCCGACUGUGGUGGACGCGAGUUACCCUGGGCGGCUUCUGACGACCUACUAGGGGCAACAGUAUGGGCCUCGCUGAUUCUGGGAGGAACUGCUCCGACGCACAGAGGUGCAGAGGCAGCCACCACCUCAUCAUUAAGCCCAAACCACGUCACGGGACCCCGGAGUUCUCCCAGACUAGUCGCUGAUGCUGGCCGCCUUGUUUGGGAUACUGAGUUCAAGUUACUCAGACCAGAAUUGACAAUGAUUAUGUGCAUGUACGUCCUAACUGUUCAGCACAAUUGGGAGAUCUACUUGACGAUAUUCAUUGUGCUCUUUCCUAAGUUCCUUAUUUAAUGAUUUUAGUAUGAUGAAUUUUUUUCAAAGGCAAAUCAAAUCAGAAAGGAGUACAAUAAAUUUUCAAAAGAAUUACGAUUGCGCUGAACAAAGACUAAACUCCCUAAAACGCUCACCGUGCAUACUGUAUUUCAUAUCUUUGCCCCCCACAAGACAAACCAUGUCUUUACGAGUUCACGGUGAAUGUCCAAGAAUGUAUGAAAAUUGAAUGUAUACCUGCAGUUAUUUACACAUCGAUGUAAGCUGAUUAUUUAUACGGAAUAUCUUAAUUUCCUUAUGUACUUUUUGUCUAUAGGUAUCCUUCAUGCUACCGUACAGCUGGAGUGAAAGCUAGAGAUAAAUCUGUUCCCCAUGUUUCUUCCGAGCAUUGGAACUCAACAUAACUGCAGUACAUGUAGAUAUCAGAAGCACGGGUACCCACGAAGAAAGCUGCUGUAUUUAUAGCCAAGCAAGGAAAUUUACAGAUAUUAAUCAGCACACGAGAGCAAUAUCCGUUCAUGUUGGAUGUCCCUGGUUUCGUUGAUGGAAAUGCAGUCGAAGCAGGACUGAUCCACAGAGCAGUGAGAAGAGCUUCAUCAAAGUAUCAUUCAUGCUGCUGCUGAAGUAAAAGGAGAUAAAUCUGUUCACCGUGAUGUCAGUUUCAAGGACUCGAAUGAAAUGUAACUGCGGUUUCAUGUACAUAUCAGAGGAACGGCUACUCAACAUGAAGGAAGCUGUUGGACAAUCAAGCAGGGAAAAUAACACGUUAAGUAGUGAUGACACAGAAGAAUCUUCACCAGCACAUACAUGCAGGAAGUCUUCAGACAUGUUGGUGUCCCAGGUGUCGUCGAUUGAAAUUCAUUUCGUACCAAGACAUUUCUACAGAAGGACUUCAUCAAAUUCUCAAGAUUAUCUAAAAAAAACUGCAACCAACAGGACAUGAGAUAUAAAUGUAUAUGUGUACAUGUCCCGACUUUUUUUCAAGAUUACGGGAGAAAUUGUGAAUACGAGUUCCGGAAGCAUUAUGCAAAGUUUUAAGCAUUCACAAGAUCCUGAUACUUUCAAUGUGUUCCCAUGUUUUCUUAAGUACAUGUAUGUCUGGAAAUCUUCAUGACAAAAGAAUUUAAUUAGUUUUAUGUAAUACACAAGAGUAAAAUGUCCUAAAGUACAAAUGCAUUUUUCCCUUAAUAUUUCAGAAAUAGCGGUAGUAAGGACACUUGAGCAUUCAACUUUGGUAACCCUUCAACCUCUGGACAACUUUCAAUUUUUAAAAUUUUGAAUACAUUUCAAUACACUUAAAUUCCACAUUCAGAGUUUGUGCUGCUGCGCACUCGCAGAUGAUACAGUUGUUAAAAAGUAGUCAUUUGUCCAUUUCAACAGGCAAUAAGGAAUUAUACUUUGAAAGAAUUAUGUAAAAUUAAUGUUAGCAGUACUUUUCUUCCUAUCUUUGGAGCCGACGUUUCUUACUUUGUGUGUGCCUAUAGCCCUUACAGUCCACAAUCCUCUUGAGUUUCAUAAGAUUUUACAUUCACCCUAGACGGACAGGGUUGAUCAAAUGCAUUCACCGUACUGCAGCAGAUCCUCGUUUGGGCAAUCAAAUACUUUCCAAUAAAACUGAACUGUGCCCUCACUCGAUGAAAUUCAACAUUUUGUGGUACCUGAUUGAUAAUUUCCGUACGUUCGACAGGGAUGAAGCAACAAUACAAAUACCGGUGGUCAAUUAAUUAUUCGAGCUUAAGGUAUAUGGAGUAAAUUGCAUUUGCAUAUUUGAAAAAACUAUUCAAAAAAUUAGGGGUGUGCAUUUUCGGGUAUUUAUGAAACCGGGUACCCUUUUUUGUUAACAUCGGGUACCCCGAAAAGAGAUCACUUAAUAACAACUGGCAUUGCGCGCGACCCCGUUGGACCAUGUGCCCGAAACACGGCUCCUUUUCGUACAUAGGAAGCAAGCACCACAUCAAUGGGGUUAACCUGUCCUACCUUUUGUCAAACGAAUUUGUUACCUUUAGUUAGCAAAUUGUCUUUUUCUGGGUAAAGGAAACAGAAAAACAAAAUUUUCACGAGGAACAUCAGAACAGACAAGAGCUACAAACCACCAACGCACCAGCAACUGCUCACAGGAAAUGUCCCUGAAAUGCGGAACGCGCUACACAAAUAGUGAGCGUUGGUCGUGUCACGUGCGGACUAGAUCAGUGCUACGUACGUCACGGGUUAAAAGGCUUUCGUGUACCAAAAUUACAUCCGUAACUCAAACAAUGUCCACACCAUUAUAUCCACAUAUUUUGAAGUUUCUGAUUCGUACAACUGCCACCAAAAUGCUUCAAAUGGCAUUGAAAGUAUUAUACAGGGUAAGGAGUCAUCAUUGCCAAUGCAUUUCUUUUUUCACAGGGACCAGUUGUAUGAACGUUGCAUAAACCAACGUUACCUGAAACUGCAAUCCUGACUUUCAAGCUACUGAAGCUAACCUGAUUGCAAACGCAGGCCCACUUGUAGUCCCCUUCAGGCAGUCUAAUUCCUGGCACUGCAUGCAGCGGCCAUGUGACCGCAAAAGGAAAGGUCAUGUGACCAUACAUAGGGAAGCCCAAGUGAAAAAAUAGGACUAUCUGCAGCACUUCACUUUGUAAACAAGACUAAGCGAUACGAAAGUUUUGCCACACGAAGGUAUCAAAAUAAAGUGAUUUAUUUUCACAAAUAAUUGCUUUGGGAUACAUCCAUUCCCAGAGGUUCGAGUUGUCAAGAUUUUAAUGUAUAAGUAAUUUGACAAGUGAAAUUUGACUGGCCGAACCAGAACCACACUUUGCCCAAAAGAGAUUGAUUCCAAAUCCAUUUCUCAAGACAAAUUCCUUUGGUCUCUUCGUUCACAGUUUUGGUGCAGUCAUUUUCCUGGUUCCGGAUCACGAAAACUAUUCGGUAAGAUUGCAGCUACAAAAAAAACCCCAAAUUCAGGUGAAAUAUGGUCAGAAGCCAACUUUGCGUUUUGGAAAUACCUCCAUUUUUGAAAAUCUAAGCUUUUAUAAUUGAACUCACAGGAUCGACGAAAGUGUCGGCACCUUCUAUUGUUCUGGAUUGAUUUCCGAUCAAGACAAAAACUUCUACAUUAAUAAAAAGUAACAACGCGAAAAAUCCAUUUUCAGCCAGAACCACUGUAAAAAGUUGCUUUUCUAAUAAAGAGUCUCUUAAUUCUCGAAAUUACAUUAAGAAUAAGAAUUCGAAUGAAUUAAAAAGUAGAAAUUGCGUGAAGUUUGACUCAACUUUUCAACUGGACAGACAGCUUACAUGUAUCAACGGUACUCUCCCCCGCGCUGCACAGCUGACGAAUGCAUCACGUCACAUGCUUUUAUGAUGUGCCUGUGUACUUGAGUUCGCAACUAAUUGCGUGGUAACGCUGCGAUCCGAAAGUAGGCGAAAAAGCUUUCAGUUUUCAGUCAAUUGACAAAGGACGGGAACUCUAAAAGUCAUUUUGAUUAAGCAGACAUUAGAUGCAAAAGUUUAUAUGACUAUUCAAUAUAAAAAAAAUAUUUGAAAUCACACGUACAGAGUGACUAUCGCCCAUGAAUUUUUGUGGUUUUUUUUGCUCUUGUGAACUAAGAAAAAUCUGGAACGAAGAAAAUGACUGCAGUACAACGGGCGGUGUGGAUAACAUACAAAAGUAACUGUUGAUCUCCGAACUGAAGGUUAAUGUAUGACUGUGGGACCGGGUUUUCAGCAGCAUAGUGAUUUUUUCGGCAAGUCUGCCCUUCAAUAUUAAAUUUCACUGGCAUUUUAUAAAUGGAUUUUUGGUCCUUAUGUAUUUACUUUUUUACGGGUACCUGGCCCGAAAAAAACUGGAACCGAGUUUUGAUAUCCACGUGCGGGUACCCAUGUACUCGGCACAGGCCUACUAUUCAUUAUAUUAAUUGCCCAUUAUUCUUUUUAGUCAGCAAGGGAAACAUUGUGUUUGUAUAUAUCUGCGAUCCCAAUCAAGGUCAUCUUAUUCCAAUGAUAUUGAACAGAUGAUGAAUUUCUGUCCUACGUACAAACUGAACUGAAAGUCUAAUAUAAAGUUUCUGGAGUCUGUUGUCAAUUAAAUUUGUAUGGGUAUUAUCAAAAGUGUUUCCGGUUGGGUGAAAAUUUGGGAGAGAGCAUAUGCAAACAUGUUCUGGUAGAUAUUGGCGGAAAGAUUCCUGGCGCUGAAAGGAAUCAGCAUGUAGUGUAAUGGCUGUAGCAAUGGGGUAGUGGACCCACAGGACCGAAUUUGAAUCUGGCCUGCUGCGUGCCAGCAAAACCACUGUAUCCUCUGAACUGCCUGUCCGAUUGGAUUAAAACCAUCAAAUGGCGUAUUGAUCAAAUCAACAGCUAUCAAAAUACUAGGAAUUAAAUUGUACUUUAGACCUUGAAACACUGAUCGAAAAUUAGGGCUGUUACGAUUCAUCGAUGCUGUAUCGAUAAUCGCGAUUCUUAAAUGCCAGGAUACGUCAUCGCGAUACAAAAAUGUGAAUCGCAAUAUUUGGGGGAAGGGGGAAUUAUGAUAAAAUAUGCAGUAAGUUGAAAAAAGUUGGACCUAAUAGAAAUUUAGAAUAUACAGCUUUAUAUUUUAAAUAUCACCUAUAUUAAUUAUUUCUUGCAAAAAAUAAUUUGGAUGAGUUUAACAGACAACCUGCUGCACAUGUACAGCAUCAAGUCAUCAAGUGAUAUAAUGUAGAUAUUUCUGUAAUUUUGAGGCAAAAAGGAGUGGAAAAGCCCUCUGCAUGUUGCAAACAGGCAAGAAGCUCUCGUUUUAGAUAUUUUUACACUAAUCAAGGCAGGUUUCUAUCACUCUUAGUGGCAAUACUUGUACACCAGCCAAGGUUUGCAUGUAAUUGAAUAGCCCAUUCAAUCAACACAAUAAAGGGCCAAACAAUUUUCCGACCUACUGUCCUAUUUUUGAGAAGCAGAAUUAUUUUCUGGGGCCCUAUCAAGUAGAUUUACACCUGCUGU